ACCCAUCUAGCUCAACCGGACAGAGCGUCAGAUAUCGGAUCUGGAGGUUACGAGUUCGAUUCUCGUGGUGGGAG
Mycena vitilis is the source of this 74-nucleotide non-coding RNA. Lineage: Eukaryota; Fungi; Basidiomycota; Agaricomycetes; Agaricales; Mycenaceae. The record is from the annotation of a GenBank genome assembly.